RNAcentral lists this ribosomal RNA (465 nucleotides) under uncultured bacterium. RNAcentral's name for it is "partial 16S ribosomal RNA". It matches the Rfam family "Bacterial small subunit ribosomal RNA", at positions 28 to 507 of the family's 1533-position model. The record is from RNAcentral.
GACGAACGCUGGCGGCGUGCUUAACACAUGCAAGUCGAACGGAAAGGCCCUGCUUGCUGGGUACUCGAGUGGAGAACGGGUGAGUAACACGUGGGUGAUCUGCCCUGCACUUCGGGAUAAGCCUGGGAAACUGGGUCUAAUACCGGCUAGGAGCCAUUUUUAGUGUGAUGGUUGGAAAGUUUUUUCGGUGUAGGAUGAGCUCGCGGCCUAUCAGCUUGUUGGUGGGGUAAUGGCCUACCAAGGCGGCGACGGGUAGCCGGCCUGAGAGGGUGGACGGCCACAUUGGGACUGAGAUACGGCCCAGACUCCUACGGGAGGCAGAAGUGGGGAAUAUUGCACAAGGGGCGCAAGCCUGAUGCAGCGACGCCGCGUGGGGGAUGACGGCCUUGGGGUUGUAAACUCCUUUCGCUAGGGACGAAGCUUUUUGUGACGGUACCUAGAUAAGAAGCACCGGCUAACUACGUG